ACCUGGAGACUUGAGUCCAGAGAGAAGUGAAUUCCAUGUGUAGCGGUGAAUGCGUAGAGAUAUGGAGGAACACCAGUGGCGAAGCGCUUUCUGGUCUGUAACUGACACUGAGGCGCGAAACGUGGGGAGCAACAGGAUUAGAUACCCUGGUAGUCACGCGUAAACGAUAGUGCUAAGUGUAGAGGUUUCGCCUUUAGUGCGAAGUUACGCAUUAGCACUCGCCUGGGGAGUACGGCCGCAAGCUGAACUCAAAGAAUUGACGGGGGCCGCACAAGCGGGGGGCAUGUUGUUUAUUUGAAGCAACGCGAAGGACCUUACCAAGUCCUGACAUCCUUUGACCACCCCAGAGAUAGGGCUUUUCCUUCGGGAACAGAAUGACAGGUGGUGCAUGGUUGUUGUCAACUCGUGUCGUGAGAUGUUGGGUUAAGUUCCGCAACGAGCGCAACCCUUGAUUUUAGUUGCCAUCCUUAAGUUGGGCCCUUUAAGGUGGCUGCCGGUGGCCAACCGGAGGAAGGUGGGGAAGGCGUCAAAUCCUCCUUCCCCUUAUGGCCUGGGGUUCCCCCGUGGUUCCAUGGGCGGUUCAAAGAACUGCAAGGCCGCGAGGGGGAAGUAAUUUCAUAAAACCGUUUUCAAUUCGGAUUGUAGGCUGCAACUUGCCUUCCUGAAACUGGAAUCGCUUGUUAUCGCGGGUCAGCCUUCCGCGGGGAAUUCGUUUCCGGGCCUUGUACCCCCCCCCCGUCCCCCCCCGAGAAUUUGUAACCCCCGAAGUCGGUGGGGUAACCCUUUGGAGCGAAUGGAUUAAGAGCUUGCUCUUAUGAAGUUAGCGGCGGACGGGUGAGUAACACGUGGGUAACCUGCCCAUAAGACUGGGAUAACUCCGGGAAACCGGGGCUAAUACCGGAUAACAUUUUGAACCGCAUGGUUCGAAAUUGAAAGGCGGCUUCGGCUGUCACUUAUGGAUGGACCCGCGUCGCAUUAGCUAGUUGGUGAGGUAACGGCUCACCAAGGCAACGAUGCGUAGCCGACCUGAGAGGGUGAUCGGCCACACUGGGACUGAGACACGGCCCAGACUCCUACGGGAGGCAGCAGUAGGGAAUCUUCCGCAAUGGACGAAAGUCUGACGGAGCAACGCCGCGUGAGUGAUGAAGGCUUUCGGGUCGUAAAACUCUGUUGUUAGGGAAGAACAAGUGCUAGUUGAAUAAGCUGGCACCUUGACGGUACCUAACCAGAAAGCCACGGCUAACUACGUGCCAGCAGCCGGGGAAUACGUAGGUGGCAAGCGUUAUCCGGAUUUAUUGGGCGUAAAGCGCGGCGCAGGUGGUUUUUUUAAGUUCUGAUGUGAAAGCCCCACGGUUCACCCGGGGGAGGGUCUUUGGAAAACUGGGGAAAAUUGGAGUGGCAAAAAAAAGAAAAGGGGAAUUUCCUGGGGGUAGCGGGUAAAAAGGGGGAAAAGAUUUGGGGGGAACCCCCCGGGGGGAAAGGGGACUUCCUGGGCUGGAAACUGAAACUUAAGGGGGGAAAAGCGGGGGGAACAAACGGGGUU
This 1543-nucleotide ribosomal RNA is filed under the name uncultured Bacillus sp. Its description in RNAcentral is "partial 16S ribosomal RNA". The stretch from base 1 to 861 matches the Rfam family "Bacterial small subunit ribosomal RNA", at positions 632 to 1533 of the family's 1533-position model. The record is from RNAcentral. Lineage: Bacteria; Bacillati; Bacillota; Bacilli; Caryophanales; Bacillaceae.